This is a long non-coding RNA of Chinchilla lanigera (long-tailed chinchilla), 1601 nucleotides long. RefSeq lists it as uncharacterized. Lineage: Eukaryota; Metazoa; Chordata; Mammalia; Rodentia; Chinchillidae. The transcript has 2 exons. The record is from RefSeq and is a predicted model, not a curated record.
CUGCCUCAGCCUCUCAAGUUCUGGGAUUUCAGGUGUCAACGUAAGGUCCCUCCCUGUGAGCCUGGGCAAGACCUCCCAGAGAGGCAGCUCUAGGAAAAGGGUCAGUGCCUAAGGACCGAGGCUGUUGGGAGAAGAAAGAAAGGUAAUUUCUUCUUCAAUGGACAGAAUGAAGUGUAGCAUUUCCGGAAGGCCAGGGGGAGUGUUUCUAAGCUUGGGACUGGGAGGUUUCAAUGUUACCUCACUAAAAUUUCUGGCAAAGAAAGCAAGAGAUCAGACCCAAGGGCAAACACUAUGUAUUCUCCUAGACAAUGCCGUCAUAAUCCGCAUGUGCCUAAAAGGGAAACAACCAGCCAGGCAAGGUGGCACACAUCUGCAAUCCCAGCACUCUGGGAGGGCGAGGCAGGGGGACUGAACAUUCAAGCCCAGCCCGGGCAACUUGGCAGCAUGUCUCAAAGUGAAGUUUUUUAAAAGGCUGGUGAUAUGGUCCAGUGCGAAGUCACUGUGUUCGUUCCUCAGUAAAGGGGCAGGGUAACGGGUGGGGGGGAUGAUUUCAUUCAGAAGGGAAAAGGAUGCCUAAAUGGGGACAAUGACUGAGUAGGGAGAAUCUAGCCUGAAAAAAGAAGCAGGGUAAGCCAGGAGUGGUGGUGCAUGCCUAAAUCCCCAGCACUCAGAGGCUGAGGCAGAAGGAUUGCCAAGUUCAAGCCCAGCCUGGACAACUUUGUGCCUUAGCAAGACUAAGACCAGGUGUCAAGGUCUCAAAAUAAAAAAUAAAAGGCUGGGGAUGUAGCUCAGUGCAAAGGCCCUGGGUUCAAUUACCAGCACUGCAAAGCCAAAUGAAAAAGGGGACAGCCGAGGAUGGGCACAGUACCUGCGGUAAGAGUGAGCAGAAGCAAACAUCUAUACUGAACAAACAAGCAACUAAAGGCCCAUGUGGACAAAACCAAGUGCCAUGUCAUUUGUUUUAUUGGUCACACAGCCAGAAUUCAUUAUAUAAAUCUUUCAAAAUAAUGAGCUAUUAUAAGAAUAGUUUACAAGUCAGCUCUGAUUGCACAAAACUUGACACAGGAAACCAUUUUUACAAAUACAUAUGUUUUCUUAUAAGAAUACUUUAAUAAAGAAAAUAAGUCUCUAUACGUCUUGCAGCAAAUCUUACGCAGUUUCUUUUCCCCAUUCAACUAUCAUUUUGGGUUUUCUUAUAACAUGUCAAUCAUAUCCAACAAACUCAUCUGCACCUUCUCAAUUUCAAAUACUACUGAGAUUCACACUGUUAAAAGAGAUUUUAGGCUUCCCUUUCUACUCUUUCCUGAAAGAAUUCACGUAUUCAGGCUAAAAGAGGUAAUUUAAACAACAUUCCUUCAAAGUAGAACUGGGAUCAAGGGCUGGGGUGCAGAGCAGUGGUAGAGCACUCGCCUGGUGUGUGCGAGACCCUGGGUUCGAUCCUCAGCACCGCACAAGAAAGAAAGAAAGAUCAGCUUCAUCACUGUGUUUGGUGAAAGACCUCUUCACUUCCCACUCAGGCCAGAGCAGCUAACAACUCAGACCCUCCUGCCUCAGUCCUAAACUACAAAAAGGGAACCCUGGAAACAAGAGUCAAAUACAAA